AACGCACAUUGCGCCCCCUGGCAUUCCGGGGGGCACGCCUGUUCGAGCGCCAUCACACCCUCCAAGCUCUGCUUGAUGUUGGGCGGCGUCCCGGGGGGCCCCUUCCGAGGGGUCGCCGGAGGACCCGCCUGGAACGCCUGGGCGCCGUUGCGUCGGACCGCGAGCGUAGCAAGACACCACACGUCGAUCGCUCUGCCGGCUCCACGUGCGGCCUGCCUCUUCGGCCCUCCUGCCCUCCCCGGGCAGGGGUUCCAUCUUACGAGUUUGGCCUCGAAUCAGGCGGGGAUACCCGCUGAACUUAA
Molecule: unclassified non-coding RNA, 302 nt
Filed under: uncultured Venturiales
Lineage: Eukaryota; Fungi; Ascomycota; Dothideomycetes
Description: sequence contains 5.8S rRNA gene, ITS2, 28S rRNA gene
Source: RNAcentral